Molecule: ribosomal RNA, 501 nt
Filed under: uncultured bacterium
Lineage: Bacteria
Description: bacterial SSU rRNA
Rfam family: Bacterial small subunit ribosomal RNA
Source: RNAcentral
GAGUUUGAUCUUGGCUCAGGAUGAACGCUAGCGGCAGGCCUAAUACAUGCAAGCCGAACGGCAAGGAUUUUAGCAAUAAGAUCCCUAGAGUGGCGUAAGGGUGCGUAACACGUAUGCAAUCUGCCCGCAACAGGAGGAUAGCUCGCCGAAAGGCGGAUUAACCCUCCAUAACAUGAUGGUGUGGCAUCACAUUAUUAUUAAAUCUGAGGAGGUUGCGGAUGAGCAUGCGUCUGAUUAGCUAGUUGGCGGUGUAAUGGACCACCAAGGCGAUGAUCAGUAGGGGAACUGAGAGGUUGAUCCCCCACACUGGCACUGAGAUACGGGCCAGACUCCUACGGGAGGCAGCAGUAGGGAAUAUUGGACAAUGGGUGAGAGCCUGAUCCAGCCAUGCCGCGUGCAAGGAAGAAGGCCUUCUGGGUUGUAAACUGCUUUUGCCAGGGGAUAAAAGACCCUUGCGAGGGAAUUGAAGGUACCUGGUGAAUAAGCCACGGCUAACUACGU